Molecule: ribosomal RNA, 458 nt
Filed under: uncultured bacterium
Lineage: Bacteria
Description: partial 16S ribosomal RNA
Rfam family: Bacterial small subunit ribosomal RNA
Source: RNAcentral
AACACAUGCAAGUCGAACGGACUUAGAGGAGCUUGCUCCUCUAGGUUAGUGGCGGACGGGUGAGUAACGCGUGGGUAACCUGCCCUAUGCAGGGGGAUAACAACGAGAAAUCGUUGCUAAUACCGCAUAACCUACUGAGGUCGCAUGAUUUUAGUAGCAAAGAUUUAUCAGCAUAGGAUGGACCCGCGUUGGAUUAGCUAGUUGGUGAGGUAACGGCUCACCAAGGCUACGAUCAGUAGCUGAUCUGAGAGGAUGAUCAGCCACAUUGGGACUGAGACACGGCCCAAACUCCUACGGGAGGCAGCAGUGGGGAAUAUUGGACAAUGGGCGCAAGCCUGAUCCAGCCAUGCCGCGUGAGUGAUGACGGCCUUCGGGUUGUAAAGCUCUUUUGUCCGGGAAGAUAAUGACUGUACCGGAAGAAUAAGCCCCGGCAAACUUCGUGCCAGCCGCCGCCGUAA